ACUGAGACACGGCCCAGACUCCUACGGGAGGCAGCAGUGGGGAAUAUUGCACAAUGGGCGAAAGCCUGAUGCAGCGACGCCGCGUGAGGGAUGACGGCCUUCGGGUUGUAAACCUCUUUCAGCAGGGAAGAAGCGAAAGUGACGGUACCUGCAGAAGAAGCGCCGGCUAACUACGUGCCAGCAGCCGCGGUAAUACGUAGGGCGCGAGCGUUGUCCGGAAUUAUUGGGCGUAAAGAGCUCGUAGGCGGUCUGUCGCGUCGGAUGUGAAAGCCCGGGGCUUAACCCCGGGUCUGCAUUCGAUACGGGCAGACUAGAGUGUGGUAGGGGAGAUCGGAAUUCCUGGUGUAGCGGUGAAAUGCGCAGAUAUCAGGAGGAACACCGGUGGCGAAGGCGGAUCUCUGGGCCAUUACUGACGCUGAGGAGCGAAAGCGUGGGGAGCGAACAGGAUUAGAUACCCUGGUAGUCCACGCCGUAAACGGUGGGAACUAGGUGUUGGCGACAUUCCACGUCGUCGGUGCCGCAGCUAACGCAUUAAGUUCCCCGCCUGGGGAGUACGGCCGCAAGGCUAAAACUCAAAGGAAUUGACGGGGGCCCGCACAAGCAGCGGAGCAUGUGGCUUAAUUCGACGCAACGCGAAGAACCUUACCAAGGCUUGACAUACACCGGAAACGGCCAGAGAUGGUCGCCCCCUUGUGGUCGGUGUACAGGUGGUGCAUGGCUGUCGUCAGCUCGUGUCGUGAGAUGUUGGGUUAAGUCCCGCAACGAGCGCAACCCUUGUUCUGUGUUGCCAGCAUGCCCUUCGGGGUGAUGGGGACUCACAGGAGACUGCCGGGGUCAACUCGGAGGAAGGUGGGGACGACGUCAAGUCAUCAUGCCCCUUAUGUCUUGGGCUGCACACGUGCUACAAUGGCAGGUACAAUGAGCUGCGAAGCCGCGAGGCGGAGCGAAUCUCAAAAAGCCUGUCUCAGUUCGGAUUGGGGUCUGCAACUCGACCCCAUGAAGUCGGAGUUGCUAGUAAUCGCAGAUCAGCAUUGCUGCGGUGAAUACGUUCCCGGGCCUUGUACACACCGCCCGUCACGUCACGAAAGUCGGUAACACCCG
Molecule: ribosomal RNA, 1101 nt
Filed under: Streptomyces scabiei
Lineage: Bacteria; Bacillati; Actinomycetota; Actinomycetes; Kitasatosporales; Streptomycetaceae
Also listed under: 1 other name
Description: bacterial SSU rRNA
Rfam family: Bacterial small subunit ribosomal RNA
Source: RNAcentral